GAUAUGGCUCAGGAUGAACGCUAGCUACAGGCUUAACACAUGCAAGUCGAUGGGCAUCAGGAAGAAAGCUUGCUUUCUUUGCUGGCGACCGGCGCACGGGUGAGUAACACGUAUCCAACCUGCCCUUUACUCGGGGAUAGCCUUUCGAAAGAAAGAUUAAUACCCGAUAGCAUAAUGAUUCCGCAUGGUUUCAUUAUUAAAGGAUUCCGGUAAAGGAUGGGGAUGCGUUCCAUUAGGUUGUUGGUGG
Molecule: ribosomal RNA, 247 nt
Filed under: uncultured bacterium
Lineage: Bacteria
Description: partial 16S ribosomal RNA
Rfam family: Bacterial small subunit ribosomal RNA
Source: RNAcentral